Molecule: ribosomal RNA, 402 nt
Filed under: uncultured bacterium
Lineage: Bacteria
Description: bacterial SSU rRNA
Rfam family: Bacterial small subunit ribosomal RNA
Source: RNAcentral
AACGAACGCUGGCGGCAUGCCUAACACAUGCAAGUCGAACGAAGCCUUCGGGCUUAGUGGCGCACGGGUGCGUAACGCGUGGGAAUCUGCCCUUGGGUUCGGAAUAACAGUUAGAAAUGACUGCUAAUACCGAAUGAUGUCUUCGGACCAAAGAUUUAUCGCCCAAGGAUGAGCCCGCGUCGGAUUAGCUAGUUGGUGAGGUAAAGGCUCACCAAGGCGACGAUCCGUAGCUGGUCUGAGAGGAUGAUCAGCCACACUGGGACUGGGACACGGCCCAGACUCCUACGGGAGGCAGCAGUGGGGAAUAUUGGACGAAUGGCGAAGCCUGAUCCAGCAAUGCCGCGUGAGUGAUGAAGGCCUUAGGGUUUGGUUAAAGGACUCUUUUUACCCCGGGUAACGUGA